RNAcentral lists this long non-coding RNA (654 nucleotides) under Setaria italica (foxtail millet). RNAcentral's name for it is "long non-coding RNA (SITA_LNC002868)". The record is from RNAcentral. Lineage: Eukaryota; Viridiplantae; Streptophyta; Magnoliopsida; Poales; Poaceae.
CUAAUGGCUGCUCAGUGUUUGAAUUGCUUUGGGAGUCCAGAGAACUCUUGCCAGAUGAAAGACCUUCAUGUUCUGAUGGAUCCUUGUUUGGCUUGUUGAGAGUGGCAUCACUUUCAGGUUCUGUCGUCUUCUCAUGAGUUACUUCACUCCCUGUCAUGUCUGCAGCAACAUCAUCACUUUGAUAUGGCUUCUCAACAGCCUCUUUAUUUUGCAGUGGCUGCUCAGACGGUUCACUGGUUUGAACUGGCUCCUCUGCAAUAUCUUCUAUCAAUGGCUUAUUGGCGAUCAAAGUGCUUGGAUGUGGCUUCUUGACAGCCAUGGCACUUUCCAAUAUGUUCUCAGUCACCAACUCUCUCUCCAAGAUCUUCUGAUGGGCUGUAUCACUUUGAGGUGACUUCAAUACACUUUCUACCUUCUCAGUGAUAAUACUUUGAGGUAUCUUCUCAGCAGCGGUGUCACUCGGUGAUAACUUCUCGGUUUUAACAACACUUUCUGAUGACUUAGGGAGCUCAGGGACUUGACUUGGUGUCAUGGUAGGUAUGUCAGUUUCCAAUGGUUUUUCUGAGGAAACAUCACGUUGCAAUAUACUCGUAGGAAGUGAUGGCGCUUCAGCUGUCUCACUUGUUGGUGGCUUCUCGGAAGUAUCACCAUUGU